AAUUAAAAAUUUUAUCCAUUUAUACAAUUAAAAACUAGCGUGAUAGACAAAAUACACAUGAAGUGCCACAUGUAUCUCAUGUUGACAUACUCUGUUUUUAAUAAUAAAAAUAAAUAGAAUUUUUAACA
MicroRNA precursor from Gossypium arboreum, 128 nucleotides. It matches the Rfam family "MIR7502 microRNA precursor family". The record is from Rfam. NCBI's taxonomy places the organism in Eukaryota, Viridiplantae, Streptophyta, Magnoliopsida, Malvales, Malvaceae.